Molecule: ribosomal RNA, 492 nt
Filed under: uncultured bacterium
Lineage: Bacteria
Description: partial 16S ribosomal RNA
Rfam family: Bacterial small subunit ribosomal RNA
Source: RNAcentral
AGUGAACGCUGGCGGUAGGCCUAACACAUGCAAGUCGAACGGCAGCACAGUAAGAGCUUGCUCUUACGGGUGGCGAGUGGCGGACGGGUGAGGAAUACAUCGGAAUCUACUUUUUCGUGGGGGAUAGCGUAGGGACACUUACGCUAAUACCGCAUACGACCUACGGGUGAAAGCAGGGGAUCUUCGGACCUUGCGCGAUUGAAUGAGCCGAUGUCGGAUUAGCUAGUUGGCGGGGUAAAGGCCCACCAAGGCGACGAUCCGUAGCUGGUCUGAGAGGAUGAUCAGCCACACUGGAACUGAGACACGGUCCAGACUCCUACGGGAGGCAGCAGUGGGGAAUAUUGGACAAUGGGCGCAAGCCUGAUCCAGCCAUACCGCGUGGGUGAAGAAGGCCUUCGGGUUGUAAAGCCCUUUUGUUGGGAAAGAAAAGCAGCAGGUUAAUACCCCGCUGUUCUGACGGUACCCAAAGAAUAAGCACCGGCUAACUUCGUG